RNAcentral lists this transfer RNA (77 nucleotides) under Stenotrophomonas sp. ESTM1D_MKCIP4_1. RNAcentral's name for it is "tRNA-Arg". Lineage: Bacteria; Pseudomonadati; Pseudomonadota; Gammaproteobacteria; Lysobacterales; Lysobacteraceae. The record is from RNAcentral.
GAACCGUUGCAAUAUAUAGGCGGGUCGCCCCCCUCCUAAGGGGAAGGUCGCCCGUUCGAAUCGGGCCGGGGUCACCA